Molecule: ribosomal RNA, 367 nt
Filed under: Corynebacterium sp. oral taxon E82
Lineage: Bacteria; Bacillati; Actinomycetota; Actinomycetes; Mycobacteriales; Corynebacteriaceae
Description: bacterial SSU rRNA
Rfam family: Bacterial small subunit ribosomal RNA
Source: RNAcentral
GACGAAAGCUGGCGGCGUGCUUAACACAUGCAAGUCGAACGGAAAAGGCCCCCACCUUGGUGGGGGUGCUCGAGUGGCGAACGGGUGAGUAACACGUGGGUGAUCUGCCCCUGCACUUCGGGAUAAGCUUGGGAAACUGGGUCUAAUACCGGAUAUGACCAUGGCUUAGUGUCUCAUGGUGGAAAAAUUAUUGUUUUGGUGCAGGAUGAGCUCGCGGCCUAUCACCUUGUUGGUGGGGUAAAUGCCUACCAAGGCGUCGACGGGUAGCCGGCCUGAGAGGGUGGACGGCCACAUGGGACUGAGAUACGGUCCAGACUCCUACGGGAGGCAGCAGUGGGGAAUAUUGCACAAUGGGCGCAAGCCUGAU